RNAcentral lists this ribosomal RNA (460 nucleotides) under uncultured bacterium. RNAcentral describes it as "partial 16S ribosomal RNA". It matches the Rfam family "Bacterial small subunit ribosomal RNA", at positions 338 to 795 of the family's 1533-position model. The record is from RNAcentral.
CCUACGGGUGGCUGCAGUGAGGAAUAUUGGUCAAUGGGCGCGAGACUGAACCAGCCAAGUAGCGUGAAGGAUGACUGCACUACGGGUCGUAAACUUCUUUUAUAAAGGAAUAAAGUCAGGCACGUGUGCCUUUUUGUAUGUACUUUAUGAAUAAGGAUCGGCUAACUCCGUGCCAGCAGCCGCGGUAAUACGGAGGAUCCGAGCGUUAUCCGGAUUUAUUGGGUUUAAAGGGAGCGGAGAUGGGUUGUUAAGUCAGUUGUGAAAGGUUGCGGCUCAACCGUAAAAUUGCAAUUGAUACUGGCAGUCUUGAGUACGAGUGAGGUAGGCGGAAUUCGUGGUGUAGCGGUGAAAUGCAUAGAUAUCACGAAGAACUCCGAUUGCGAAGGCAGCUUGCUAAACUGCCACUGACGUUGAGGCACGAAAGUGUGGGUAUCAAACAGGAUUAGAUACCCGAGUAGUC